Molecule: ribosomal RNA, 253 nt
Filed under: uncultured bacterium
Lineage: Bacteria
Description: partial 16S ribosomal RNA
Rfam family: Bacterial small subunit ribosomal RNA
Source: RNAcentral
CACGUAGGGGGCGAGCGUUGUCCGGAUUUAUUGGGCGUAAAGAGCGUGUAGGCGGUCUGGUAGGUCCGUUGUGAAAACUCGAGGCUCAACCUCGAGACGCCGAUGGAAACCCUCAGACUAGAGUCCGGAAGAGGAGAGUGGAAUUCUUGGUGUAGCGGUGAAAUGCGCAGAUAUCAGGAAGAACACCCGUGGCUAAGGCGGCUCUCUAGUACGGUACUGACGCUGAGACGCGAAAGCGUGGGGAGCAAACAGG